GAUGAAGAACGUAGCGAAAUGCGAUAAGUAAUGUGAAUUGCAGAAUUCCGUGAAUCAUCGAAUCUUUGAACGCACAUUGCGCCCCCUGGUAUUCCGGGGGGCAUGCCUGUCCGAGCGUCAUUGCAACCUUCAAGCGCGGCUUGUGUGUGGGUCUCGUCCCCCGUGGACGGGCCCGAAAGGCAGUGGCGGCGUCCCGACAUGGUGCCCGAGCGUAUGGGAAUCCUCUUCCGCUCGAAUCGGCCCAUGCGGCGCUGGUCGUAACCAAAUUUUUUACCGGUUGACCUCGGAUCAGGUAGGGAUACCCGCUGAACUUAAGCAUAUCAAUAAGCGGAGGA
RNAcentral lists this unclassified non-coding RNA (335 nucleotides) under soil metagenome. Its description in RNAcentral is "partial contains 5.8S ribosomal RNA, internal transcribed spacer 2, and large subunit ribosomal RNA". The stretch from base 1 to 120 matches the Rfam family "5.8S ribosomal RNA", at positions 35 to 154 of the family's 154-position model. The record is from RNAcentral.